Onychostoma macrolepis is the source of this 625-nucleotide long non-coding RNA. RefSeq lists it as uncharacterized. The transcript has 3 exons. The record is from RefSeq and is a predicted model, not a curated record. Lineage: Eukaryota; Metazoa; Chordata; Actinopteri; Cypriniformes; Cyprinidae.
ACCGGCGAACACUUAGGCCUAUGUUAUCAGAGGACUUGCUAACAUGAAGAAAACGGUCCAGAGGUUCCACCUGAGAGCCGGGACUGUCGAAUAGUAAGAGACAACGAAAAGGGGGGAACUGUCUUUAAGCUGUGGAGUCAGAUGGAGGGCUCGCAUUGCAGAAGACUCGAACAACUAGAACCAACUCAAGCACACAACGGUGACACACAUUUGUAAGACCUUUCCCUGUGAUAUAAAAUUUCCCUGUGGUAAUUAUUCAGAUUCUUCUCAUUCUCAUUGUGUAGCACUGUUUUAAGCUUAGUGAAUAUUAUGUACAGUAAGCACUAGAAGUAGAGACUUGUACUACUUGGGGUAGUUUUAAAUUAACUUUAAUUUUGCUUUUGGUGCAAAAAUUAUCAAAAGAAAAGAUAGUAGUAAAAGAUGUUUUGUGUAGUAAUUCAAUUGUUUUAAUAUGAAUAUUGUUUUAGUAGUGUUCAGGACAGUAAUUGUCUGUACAUCUAAAUCAGUUCUUUAAACUUUUUGUUGUCUAAGACCUUGAUAUUAUACCUUAAGGGAAAAAGAAAGAUAUUUAAUUAUGUAUUAUGUACCCAGACAGCAAGGAGUGUCGGCCCAGAUCCAGCCCACA